This 2632-nucleotide unclassified non-coding RNA is filed under the name Daphnia magna. RNAcentral's name for it is "uncharacterized LOC116916287, transcript variant X4". The record is from RNAcentral. Lineage: Eukaryota; Metazoa; Arthropoda; Branchiopoda; Diplostraca; Daphniidae.
AUAAAUACAUUUAUUCAUGGCAAUAUUUAUUUCUGCCAAAUUUUUCUUCUGAAAAUAUUUACUUAUGAACAAACAACCUUUUAUUUUUACUUAUGAACGGUGUUACUAGUGGGAAUACGUCACUCUGCAACGAUCCCAUUAAGGUUGACACUGUUGACAUGUUGAGUGUUGACAAAAAUCACUAUCGAUUAUCUUUCCCUUAUCGAUAUUCAGUUAUUCCAUGUUGUCGUCAAAUGUUUAUCUCGUCUACUAUGUUUUGACGCUUGUUUUAACAGCAGUACAAAGCAUAUUAUUGUUAAUUUUAGGAUAUAUUUGUACCUUUGUAAAAAUGAGUGCCAACAAAGAAGAUUCACUUCGGCGAGUUAGACGGAGAAAAACUGUCAUUGGACCGAGACAGGAAUUACGCAGAAUAAAGGAACGUGUUGAUUCCUUUCUGUUAGAAGCUUCCCAACAAGAAAACCAAUAUAGACAAUUACAAACGUCACAUAUGGUCAAUGUUCUCUGCACUGAAGUUUACUCGAUGACUUUGGAUAUGGUUCCAAUAACCACCAACACGCAUGCCCAAACUGAUAGUGAUGAUCUUCAGCACUUAGAAAUUGAUUUAUCCCAUUAUGAACAUAUUGGUAAACAUGAGACACAUAAUGAAGAUCAACCAGAGUCAUAUAUGUCAUCGUACAGUGAAUUUGGAUUGCGUGAACAAAUAAAUGAGAGUUUCUCGUCUACUGAUAGUUCGGAUGAAAACCAAUUGGCAGACUUUGAUGAUGGGAUGAACAAGGACAGUGACGUAGGCAACGAUGCAUACGAAAUCAAAGUUAAACAAACGAUACUGGAGUGGGUUGUUGAAUGUAACGUUCCCAGUUAUCACGUCAGCAAUAUACUUAGGAGGCUAAACGUUGUUGCAAAACUGUCAUUCUUACCUCUCGAUUCCCGAACACUUUUAUCGUCCAGACGAGGGAAAUUGAAUGUCAAAGACAUGUUUCCUGGAAAGUAUCAUCAUUUUGGAGUAGAAGAAUCUUUACAGGCCUUACUACUAUCAAUGGAUUCAAGAAAAGUUCCAAUACCUUACGAAUUAAAUAUACUAUUUAACAUUGAUGGCCUGCCACUAUCAAACAGCAGCAGUAGCGAGUUUUGGCCAAUUUUGUUCAAAGUGCAAGGCUUGGAAGAUGUUUUAAUAGCUGGAAUUUACCAUGAAAAAAAAACCAGAAGAUGUAAACGUUUUUCUUCGAGACGUCUGUGAGGGCCUUUCCAGUGAUUCCCCAGCAACCACUUUUGCUUUAUGCAUUAAAUCGCACAACGCGUACUUUGGUUGUCGGAAAUGCAUCACCAAAGGUUGUUGGGUACAAAAUACUAUAAGUCAGGACCUAUCCUGAAUUAGACGCACCACUUCGUACAGACUUCUCUUUUCUUCAAAGAUUACAACCUGAGCACCACGAGAAAAAUGGUAGACAAUCAAUUCUUGAGAAGGUCUUAAGGGAUGCUGUCAACGAUUUGGUUAUUGAUUACAUGCAUCUUGUCUGUAUCUGAGUACACAAGAAACAACUAGAAGAAUGGGUGUAUGGAUUAAUCCCAUACAUACCUAGCAAUUUCGUCAGGAAACCAGGACCGAUGGAAGACCUACCUCGCUGGAAAGCAACGGAAUUGAGGCUUGAUCUACUGUACAUGUGUCCAACUAACAAGCAAUUUCUUUCAGAAAAUAGAUUUGGUCAUUUGAUGCUGUUACACGUGGCAAUUAAACUUCUUGUAAAUAAGAAGGAUUGUCGCAGAAACACAAGUUACGCAGAGGAAUUGUUGAAAGCUUACGUUUCAACAUGCCCAAUAUUAUAUGGAAAUCAGCUAAAUACUUUCAGUGUUCAUUCCCUGAUUCAUCUACCGAAUGAUGUACUCAACCAUGGAAGCCUUGAUGAGUUCAGCGCAUUUCUCUUUGAAAACAAGUUUCAGAAAAUAAAAAAUUUAAUUAGGAAAAGUGGUAAACCAUUGCAACAAUUUUUAAAUCGUUUAGAAGAAAUCCAGCUUGCUCACUUUGAAGGAGAUGCAAACAAAAGUCUGAAGAAUUCGCUUGAUUUAUUGGGUUUACAUAGCAAUGGUCCACUACCUAUUACAGAAUCUAUUUUAAAUGGGGAACAGUUUAAAAAAUUGCAUUUCAAUGACUUGUUUUCACACCUAAGUUACCAGAGUACUGCAUCUUUUUGGAAAACAACAACAUCGUCCUUAUUGAAAUUUUUUUUUAACGAUGAACGGAGAGAUCUUAAUAGUAGGAAAACAGUAUUUGAAACAAGAAGACAUGUUUAAAUACCCUCUUCCUUCAUAUACCAUCAGCGAAUUCCUUGUGUCACAGCUCUCUAGUUUGGAUUUGUUCCAAUUACUUAACGUAAAAUGCAAAGCAGUACGGAUACCGAUUGCUAUUCCGUCAAAUGGUUUUUUCUUUGAGUGUCCACUCGUCAAUACAAGUACUGCGUAGUUGUUACAUAAUCAUCUGUACUUCUGUAUGUGAUGUUGGAGUCGCACUCAACUUAAGAAAAAUUCAAUGAAUAUCUAUAAUACAAACUCAUUAUAUCAGAUAAUAAUUGUUGCUUAAAAAUAAACAUAAAUGGUGUAUAUAGGAAACGACAUCCUAUAAACAUUCUAACACUUA